This 253-nucleotide ribosomal RNA is filed under the name uncultured bacterium. Its description in RNAcentral is "partial 16S ribosomal RNA". It matches the Rfam family "Bacterial small subunit ribosomal RNA", at positions 524 to 776 of the family's 1533-position model. The record is from RNAcentral.
UACGUAGGGACCGAGCGUUGUCCGGAAUCAUUGGGCGUAAAGAGCGUGUAGGCGGCCUGUUAAGUCUUGCGUGAAAUCUCGGGGCUCAACCCCGAGCGGUCGUGAGAAACUGGCAGGCUAGAGUGCGGGAGAGGAGAGUGGAAUUCCUGGUGUAGCGGUGAAAUGCGUAGAUAUCUGGAGGAACACCGGUGGCGAAGGCGGCAUCCUGGACCGGUAUUGACGCUGAGGCGCGAAAGCUAGGGGAGCAAACAGG